RNAcentral lists this ribosomal RNA (253 nucleotides) under uncultured bacterium. RNAcentral describes it as "partial 16S ribosomal RNA". It matches the Rfam family "Bacterial small subunit ribosomal RNA", at positions 524 to 776 of the family's 1533-position model. The record is from RNAcentral.
UACGGAGGGUGCAAGCGUUAUCCGGAUUCACUGGGUUUAAAGGGUGCGCGGGCGGAUUGGUAAGUCAGUGGUGAAAUCUUUGAGCUUAACUUGGGAACUGCCAUUGAUACUAUCAGUCUUGAAUAUUGUUGAGGUUUGCGGAAUGGGUCAUGUAGCGGUGAAAUGCAUAGAUAUGACCCGGAACACCUAUUGCGAAGGCAGCAGGCUAAACAAAGAUUGACGCUGAGGCUCGAAAGCGUGGGGAUCAAACAGG